UGCAGUCGACGCUUUUUUUUCCCGGAGCUUGCUCCCCGAAAGAAAAGAGUGGCGAACGGGUGAGUAACACGUGGGUAACCUGCCCAUCAGAAGGGGAUAACACUUGGAAACAGGUGCUAAUACCGUAUAACACUAUUUUCCGCAUGGAAGAAAGUUGAAAGGCGCUUUUGCGUCACUGAUGGAUGGACCCGCGGUGCAUUAGCUAGUUGGUGAGGUAACGGCUCACCAAGGCAACGAUGCAUAGCCGACCUGAGAGGGUGAUCGGCCACACUGGGACUGAGACACGGCCCAGACUCCUACGGGAGGCAGCAGUAGGGAAUCUUCGGCAAUGGACGAAAGUCUGACCGAGCAACGCCGCGUGAGUGAAGAAGGUUUUCGGAUCGUAAAACUCUGUUGUUAGAGAAGAACAAGGAUGAGAGUAAAAUGUUCAUCCCUUGACGGCAUCUAACCAGAAAGCCACGGCUAACUACGUGCCAGCAGCCGCGGUAAUACGUAGGUGGCAAGCGUUGUCCGGAUUUAUUGGGCGUAAAGCGAGCGCAGGCGGUUUCUUAAGUCUGAUGUGAAAGCCCCCGGCUCAACCGGGGAGGGUCAUUGGAAACUGGGAGACUUGAGUGCAGAAGAGGAGAGUGGAAUUCCAUGUGUAGCGGUGAAAUGCGUAGAUAUAUGGAGGAACCCAGUGGCGAAGCGGCUCUCUGGUCUGUACUGACGCUGAGCUCGAAGCG
RNAcentral lists this ribosomal RNA (722 nucleotides) under uncultured bacterium. RNAcentral describes it as "bacterial SSU rRNA". It matches the Rfam family "Bacterial small subunit ribosomal RNA", at positions 56 to 761 of the family's 1533-position model. The record is from RNAcentral.